RNAcentral lists this ribosomal RNA (861 nucleotides) under bacterium. RNAcentral describes it as "bacterial SSU rRNA". It matches the Rfam family "Bacterial small subunit ribosomal RNA", at positions 24 to 866 of the family's 1533-position model. The record is from RNAcentral.
UCAGGAUGAACGCUGGCGGCGUGCCUAAUACAUGCAAGUCGAGCGAACAGAUAAGGAGCUUGCUCCUUUGACGUUAGCGGCGGACGGGUGAGUAACACGUGGGUAACCUACCUAUAAGACUGGGAUAACUUCGGGAAACCGGAGCUAAUACCGGAUAACAUUUGGAACCGCAUGGUUCUAAAGUGAAAGAUGGUUUUGCUAUCACUUAUAGAUGGACCCGCGCCGUAUUAGCUAGUUGGUAAGGUAACGGCUUACCAAGGCGACGAUACGUAGCCGACCUGAGAGGGUGAUCGGCCACACUGGAACUGAGACACGGUCCAGACUCCUACGGGAGGCAGCAGUAGGGAAUCUUCCGCAAUGGGCGAAAGCCUGACGGAGCAACGCCGCGUGAGUGAUGAAGGGUUUCGGCUCGUAAAACUCUGUUAUUAGGGAAGAACAAACGUGUAAGUAACUGUGCAUGUCUUGACGGUACCUAAUCAGAAAGCCACGGCUAACUACGUGCCAGCAGCCGCGGUAAUACGUAGGUGGCAAGCGUUAUCCGGAAUUAUUGGGCGUAAAGCGCGCGUAGGCGGUUUCUUAAGUCUGAUGUGAAAGCCCACGGCUCAACCGUGGAGGGUCAUUGGAAACUGGGAAACUUGAGUGCAGAAGAGGAAAGUGGAAUUCCAUGUGUAGCGGUGAAAUGCGCAGAGAUAUGGAGGAACACCAGUGGCGAAGGCGACUUUCUGGUCUGUAACUGACGCUGAUGUGCGAAAGCGUGGGGAUCAAACAGGAUUAGAUACCCUGGUAGUCCACGCCGUAAACGAUGAGUGCUAAGUGUUAGGGGGUUUCCGCCCCUUAGUGCUGCAGCUAACGCAUUAAGCA